CGUAGGGUGCAAGCGUUAAUCGGAAUUACUGGGCGUAAAGCGUGCGCAGGCGGUUAUAUAAGACAGAUGUGAAAUCCCCGGGCUCAACCUGGGAACUGCAUUUGUGACUGUAUAGCUAGAGUACGGUAGAGGGGGAUGGAAUUCCGCGUGUAGCAGUGAAAUGCGUAGAUAUGCGGAGGAACACCGAUGGCGAAGGCAAUCCCCUGGACCUGUACUGACGCUCAUGCACGAAAGCGUGGGGAGCAAACAGGAUUAGAUACCCUGGCAGUCCACGCCCUAAACGAUGUCAACUGGUUGUUGGGUCUUCACUGACUCAGUAACGAAGCUAACGCGUGAAGUUGACCGCCUGGGGAGUACGGCCGCAAGGUUG
This 370-nucleotide ribosomal RNA is filed under the name uncultured organism. Its description in RNAcentral is "bacterial SSU rRNA". It matches the Rfam family "Bacterial small subunit ribosomal RNA", at positions 526 to 896 of the family's 1533-position model. The record is from RNAcentral.